GACGUCGUGUCCGAGUGGUUAAGGAGAGUGACUAGAAUCAUCACGUGAUAUCCCAUCAUCGUGUAAAAUUUAUAUAUCACUUGGGUUCGCCCGCGCAUGUUCGAAUCAUGCCGACGUCG
This 119-nucleotide transfer RNA is filed under the name Talaromyces marneffei ATCC 18224. RNAcentral's name for it is "tRNA-Ser". Lineage: Eukaryota; Fungi; Ascomycota; Eurotiomycetes; Eurotiales; Trichocomaceae. The record is from RNAcentral.